This is a long non-coding RNA of Dunckerocampus dactyliophorus (ringed pipefish), 219 nucleotides long. RefSeq lists it as uncharacterized. The transcript has 2 exons. NCBI's taxonomy places the organism in Eukaryota, Metazoa, Chordata, Actinopteri, Syngnathiformes, Syngnathidae. The record is from RefSeq and is a predicted model, not a curated record.
AGGGUUGCACGGGCAUGCUGGAGUCUAUCCCAGCUGACUUCGGGCGACAGGCGGGGUACACCCUGGAGUGGUCGCCAGCCAAUCGCAGGGAAAACGCCCAUCUGCUUGGUCUUCAUGGCGCUGUACAGCACCGAGGUGAUCUUCAACAUCUCCUUCACUGCAUAGCCAUCAGCCUGGUAGAGGCGCUUGGUGUUCAGCUUGAUGUGAGCUUUAGUCGCC